CACGCCGUAAACGAUGUCAACUAGCUGUUGGUUAUAUGAAUAUAAUUAGUGGCGCAGCAAACGCGAUAAGUUGACCGCCUGGGGANCAACGCGAAGAACCUUACCUACCCUUGACAUACAGUGAACUUUGCAGAGAUGCAUUGGUGCCUUCGGGAACACUGAUACAGGUGC
RNAcentral lists this ribosomal RNA (171 nucleotides) under uncultured bacterium. RNAcentral describes it as "partial 16S ribosomal RNA". It matches the Rfam family "Bacterial small subunit ribosomal RNA", at positions 796 to 1041 of the family's 1533-position model. The record is from RNAcentral.